GGUGUAGAAAAUUUAGGGUGCUCAACAUUUAAACUUGCAGCGCGAACUGUCAGAACUUGAGUACACGCAGCGCAGGGCGGAAUUCAUGGUGUAGCGGUGAAAUGCUUAGAUAUCAUGAGGAACUCCGAUCGCGAAAGGCAGCCUGCGGGAGUGUUACUGACGCUUAAGCUCGAAAGGUGCGGGUAUCGAACAGGAUUAGAUACCCUGGUAGUCCGCACAGUAAACGAUGGAUGCCCGCCGUUGGCGCCCUGCGCCUGCGGCCAAGCGAAAGCAUUAAGCAUCCCACCUGGGGAGUACGCCGGCAACGGUGAAACUCAAAGGAAUUGACGGGGGCCCGCACAAGCGGAGGAACAUGUGGUUUAAUUCGAUGAUACGCGAGGAACCUUACCCGGGCUUGAAUUGCAGUCGCUGCCCACAGAGACGUGGGCUUCCCUUCGGGGCGUCUGUGAAGGUGCUGCAUGGUUGUCGUCAGCUCGUGCCGUGAGGUGUCGGCUUAAGUGCCAUAACGAGCGCAACCCCCUUUCCCAGUUGCCAUCGGGUUAUGCCGGGCACUCUGGGGACACUGCCACCGCAAGGUGCGAGGAAGGUGGGGAUGACGUCAAAUCAGCACGGCCCUUACGUCCGGGGCUACACACGUGUUACAAUGGCCGGUACAGAGGGACGGUGCAAUGCAAGUUGCAUCCAAUCUUGAAAUCCGGUCCCAGUUCGGACUGGGGUCUGCAACCCGACCCCACGAAGCUGGAUUCGCUAGUAAUCGCGCAUCAGCCAUGGCGCGGUGAAUACGUUCCCGGGCCUUGUACACACCGCCCGUCAAGCCAUGAAAGCCGGGGGUGCCUGAAGUUCGUGACCGCGAGGAGCGACCUAGGGCAAGGCCUGUAUUGGGGCUAAGUCGUAACAAGGUAGCCG
Molecule: ribosomal RNA, 906 nt
Filed under: uncultured bacterium
Lineage: Bacteria
Description: bacterial SSU rRNA
Rfam family: Bacterial small subunit ribosomal RNA
Source: RNAcentral